This 497-nucleotide ribosomal RNA is filed under the name uncultured bacterium. Its description in RNAcentral is "partial 16S ribosomal RNA". It matches the Rfam family "Bacterial small subunit ribosomal RNA", at positions 28 to 507 of the family's 1533-position model. The record is from RNAcentral.
GAUGAACGCUGGCGGCGUGCCUAAUACAUGCAAGUCGAGCGAACAGAUAAGGAGCUUGCUCCUUUGACGUUAGCGGCGGACGGGUGAGUAACACGUGGGUAACCUACCUAUAAGACUGGGAUAACUUCGGGAAACCGGAGCUAAUACCGGAUAACAUUUGGAACCGCAUGGUUCUAAAGUGAAAGAUGGUUUUGCUAUCACUUAUAGAUGGACCCGCGCCGUAUUAGCUAGUUGGUAAGGUAACGGCUUACCAAGGCGACGAUACGUAGCCGACCUGAGAGGGUGAUCGGCCACACUGGAACUGAGACACGGUCCAGACUCCUACGGGAGGCAGCAGUAGGGAAUCUUCCGCAAUGGGCGAAAGCCUGACGGAGCAACGCCGCGUGAGUGAUGAAGGGUUUCGGCUCGUAAAACUCUGUUAUUAGGGAAGAACAAAUGUGUAAGUAACUGUGCACGUCUUGACGGUACCUAAUGAGAAAGCCACGGCUAACUACGUG